This 417-nucleotide ribosomal RNA is filed under the name uncultured bacterium. Its description in RNAcentral is "bacterial SSU rRNA". It matches the Rfam family "Bacterial small subunit ribosomal RNA", at positions 355 to 769 of the family's 1533-position model. The record is from RNAcentral.
UGAGGAAUAUUGGUCAAUGGGUGCAAGCCUGAACCAGCCAUCCCGCGUGAAGGACGACUGCCCUAUGGGUUGUAAACUUCUUUUGUAUAGGGAUAAACCUACCCUCGUGAGGGUAGCUGAAGGUACUAUACGAAUAAGCACCGGCUAACUCCGUGCCAGCAGCCGCGGUAAUACGGAGGGUGCAAGCGUUAUCCGGAUUUAUUGGGUUUAUAGGGUCCGUAGGCGGACUUAUAAGUCAGUGGUGAAAGCCUGUCGCUUAACGAUAGAACUGCCAUUGAUGCUGUAAGUCUUGAGUAUAGUUGAGGUAGCUGGAAUAAGUAGUGUAGCGGUGAAAUGCAUAGAUAUUACUUAGAACACCAAUUGCGAAGGCAGGUUACCAAGAUAUAACUGACGCUGAGGGACGAAGGCGUGGGUAGC